Enhydra lutris kenyoni (northern sea otter) is the source of this 877-nucleotide non-coding RNA. The record is from the annotation of a RefSeq genome assembly. Lineage: Eukaryota; Metazoa; Chordata; Mammalia; Carnivora; Mustelidae.
CCAUAAGGCAUCCUUGUUCUUACUUCAAGCCACUUCCUCAGCCACAUUAAGUCAAUGACCAUUUGGACUCUUUGAGCAUCUACUAACCAAACAUCUUAUUUCAUUGCAGGAUGGUAUGAGAGCUUUCCAGGUUAACUUACAUCAACAUAUCAUGUGAACCUGGGCAGAACCUGGAAUCCUUUCUCUGUUAUUAGCUGGUUGGCAGGCCCUGUGUCUUUAAUCAGAUGUGAUCUGAAGUGUUUCUGCCUCUCAGAGUCUUAUAACAGAGUCUCUGGGUGUGUUGCAUGAACACACUGGACCUAUCAAAAGCAGCAAGAUGGUGACUCCCUCACAGCUUCUUGGCCUUCUGCUCCUCUGGGUUCCAGCCUCCCAUGGCAAGAUUGUGCUGACCCAGUCUCCUGCCAUCCUAUUCAUGCCUCCAAAAGAAGUAGUCACCAUCACCUGCUGGGCCAGUCAGAACAUUAACAAGUGGUUAGCCUGGUAUCAGCAGAAGCCAGGGAGAGCUCCUAAGCUCCUGAUCUAUGAAGCAUCCAAGUUGGAAACUGGGGUCCCAUCAGAAUUCAGUGGCAGUGGGUCUGUGACAGACUUCACUCUCACCAUCAGCAGCCUGGAGCCUGAAGAUGCUUGGACCUACUACUGCCUGCAGUCUAACAGCUACCCACCCACAGUGUUACAGGUGCUGAUGGAAGGCAUUGAAUCCUCCUCUUCUGACCUCCAGAUCUAGGGUAAGGUGCCUCGUGAGCAACUCAGUAGGGAACCAUAGAGGAAAGGGGGCUCUGGGAAAUGUGCUUCCAGAAGAGAUGGUGGUGAUGGGGAGUUAACAGAAGACAGCCUGGGAUGGUCACUGUUUUUACAUCUCUCAGAAGUUGGCCAGUUA